AACGAACGCUGGCGGCAUGCCUAACACAUGCAAGUCGAACGAGACCUUCGGGUCUAGUGGCGCACGGGUGCGUAACGCGUGGGAACCUGCCCUUAGGUUCGGAAUAACUCCCCGAAAGGGGUGCUAAUACCAGAUAAUGUCUUCGGACCAAAGAUUUAUCGCCUUUGGAUGGGCCCGCGUUGGAUUAGCUAGUUGGUAGGGUAAAAGCCUACCAAGGCGACGAUCCAUAGCUGGUCUGAGGGGAUGAUCAGCCACACUGGGACUGAGACACGGCCCAGACUCCUACGGGAGGCAGCAGUGGGGAAUAUUGGACAAUGGGCGAAAGCCUGAUCCAGCAAUGCCGCGUGAGUGAUGAAGGCCUUAGGGUUGUAAAGCUCUUUUACCCGGGAUGAUAAUGACAGUACCGGGAGAAUAAGCUCCGGCUAACUCCGUG
Molecule: ribosomal RNA, 433 nt
Filed under: uncultured bacterium
Lineage: Bacteria
Description: partial 16S ribosomal RNA
Rfam family: Bacterial small subunit ribosomal RNA
Source: RNAcentral